GCGAAGUUGGUGCAGUCGGCGGCGCGUAAGUCUCAUAAUCUUAAGGUCGUGAGUUCGAACCUCACACUUCGCA
RNAcentral lists this transfer RNA (73 nucleotides) under Piromyces finnis. It matches the Rfam family "tRNA". Rfam says of the family: Transfer RNA (tRNA) molecules are approximately 80 nucleotides in length. Their secondary structure includes four short double-helical elements and three loops (D, anti-codon, and T loops). The record is from Rfam by way of RNAcentral. Lineage: Eukaryota; Fungi; Neocallimastigomycota; Neocallimastigomycetes; Neocallimastigales; Neocallimastigaceae.